This 279-nucleotide ribosomal RNA is filed under the name uncultured bacterium. RNAcentral describes it as "partial 16S ribosomal RNA". It matches the Rfam family "Bacterial small subunit ribosomal RNA", at positions 506 to 784 of the family's 1533-position model. The record is from RNAcentral.
UGCCAGCAGCCGCGGUAACACGUAAGGGGCGUGCGUUGUUCGGAUUUAUUGGGCGUAAAGGGCGUGUAGGCGGUUUAUCAAGCCUGAUGUGAAAGACCCUGGCUUAACCAGGGGAGCGCGUUGGGAACUGAUAGACUAGAGUAUAGGAGGGGUAGUUGGAAUUCCAGGUGUAGGGGUGAAAUCUGUAGAUAUCGGGAGGAACACCAGUGGCGAAGGCGGCCAUCUGGACGGUGACUGACGCUCAGACCCGAAAGCGUGGGUAGCAAACAGGAUUAGAUA